GGUGGAGUGGUGUAGAGGUUAGCACACCCGACCGGACAUUGGGCGGCCCACAGUUCAAAUCCUGGCUCCGCCG
Non-coding RNA from Ixodes scapularis (black-legged tick), 73 nucleotides. Lineage: Eukaryota; Metazoa; Arthropoda; Arachnida; Ixodida; Ixodidae. The record is from Rfam.